CUACGGGAGGCAGCAGUGGGGAAUAUUGCACAAUGGGCGCAAGCCUGAUGCAGCCAUGCCGCGUGUAUGAAGAAGGCCUUAUGGUUGUAAAGCACUUUAAGCGAGGAGGAGGCUACUUUAGUUAAUACCUAGAGAUAGUGGACGUUACUCGCAGAAUAAGCACCGGCUAACUCUGUG
RNAcentral lists this ribosomal RNA (177 nucleotides) under uncultured Acinetobacter sp. Its description in RNAcentral is "partial 16S ribosomal RNA". It matches the Rfam family "Bacterial small subunit ribosomal RNA", at positions 339 to 507 of the family's 1533-position model. The record is from RNAcentral. Lineage: Bacteria; Pseudomonadati; Pseudomonadota; Gammaproteobacteria; Moraxellales; Moraxellaceae.